GAUGAACGCUGGCGGCGUGCCUAAUACAUGCAAGUCGAGCGAACAGACGCGGAGCUUGCUCCUCUGACGUUAGCGGCGGACGGGUGAGUAACACGUGGAUAACCUACCUAUAAGACUGGGAUAACUUCGGGAAACCGGAGCUAAUACCGGAUAAUAUAUUGAACCGCAUGGUUCAAUAGUGAAAGACGGUUUUGCUGUCACUUAUAGAUGGAUCCGCGCCGCAUUAGCUAGUUGGUAAGGUAACGGCGUACCAAGGCAACGAUGCGUAGCCGACCUGAGAGGGUGAGCGGCCACACUGGAACUGAGACACGGUCCAGACUCCUACGGGUGGCAGCAGUAGGGAAUCUUCCGCAAUGGGCGAAAGCCUGACGGAGCAACGCCGCGUGAGUGAUGAAGGUCUUCGGAUCGUAAAACUCUGUUAUUAGGGAAGAACAAAUGUGUAAGUAACUAUGCACGUCUUGACGGUACCUAAUCAGAAAGCCACGGCUAACUACGUG
This 497-nucleotide ribosomal RNA is filed under the name uncultured bacterium. RNAcentral describes it as "partial 16S ribosomal RNA". It matches the Rfam family "Bacterial small subunit ribosomal RNA", at positions 28 to 507 of the family's 1533-position model. The record is from RNAcentral.